CGUAAGAUGGCUGAUAGAGAGCAAAGGCUUUUUAAGCCUUAACAGGGUACAAUUACCUCUUAUGA
Molecule: transfer RNA, 65 nt
Filed under: Eubranchipus grubii
Lineage: Eukaryota; Metazoa; Arthropoda; Branchiopoda; Anostraca; Chirocephalidae
Description: tRNA-Lys
Rfam family: tRNA
About the family: Transfer RNA (tRNA) molecules are approximately 80 nucleotides in length. Their secondary structure includes four short double-helical elements and three loops (D, anti-codon, and T loops).
Source: RNAcentral